AUACGUAGGGUGCAAGCGUUAAUCGGAAUUACUGGGCGUAAAGCGUGCGCAGGCGGUUUUGUAAGACAGUGGUGAAACCCCGGGCUCAACCUGGGAACUGCCAUUGUGACUGCAAGGCUGGAGUGCGGCAGAGGGGGAUGGAAUUCCGCGUGUAGCAGUGAAAUGCGUAGAUAUGCGGAGGAACACCGAUGGCGAAGGCAAUCCCCUGGGCCUGCACUGACGCUCAUGCACGAAAGCGUGGGGAGCAAACAGGAUUAGAUACCCUGGUAGUCCACGCCCUAAACGAUGUCAACUGGUUGUUGGGGAUUUAUUUUCUCAGUAACGAAGCUAACGCGUGAAGUUGACCGCCUGGGGAGUACGGCCGCAAGGUUAAAACUCAAAUGAAUUGACGGGG
RNAcentral lists this ribosomal RNA (394 nucleotides) under uncultured bacterium. RNAcentral's name for it is "partial 16S ribosomal RNA". It matches the Rfam family "Bacterial small subunit ribosomal RNA", at positions 523 to 918 of the family's 1533-position model. The record is from RNAcentral.